RNAcentral lists this ribosomal RNA (462 nucleotides) under uncultured bacterium. Its description in RNAcentral is "partial 16S ribosomal RNA". It matches the Rfam family "Bacterial small subunit ribosomal RNA", at positions 28 to 507 of the family's 1533-position model. The record is from RNAcentral.
GAUGAACGCUGCCAGAAUGCUUAACACAUGCAAGUCAUUGGCGAAGCUGCGCUUGCGCAGUCUAGCCAAGGCGGACGGGUGAGUAACGCGUAAGGAACUUGCCCUGCAGACAGGGAUAACAGACGGAAACGACUGAUAACACCUGGUAUUGUCAGGCUGGCGCAUGCCGGCCUGAUGAAAGGAGACGCUGCAGGAGAGCCUUGCGUCCUAUUAGCUAGUUGGUGGGGUAACGGCCCACCAAGGCGAUGAUAGGUAGCCGGCCUGAGAGGGUGAACGGCCACAAGGGGACUGAGAUACGGCCCUUACUCCUACGGGAGGCAGCAGUGGGGAAUAUUGGACAAGGGGGGCAACCCUGAUCCAGCAAUUCUGUAUGCACGAAGAAGGUUUUCGGAUUGUAAAGUGCUUUCAGCAGGGAAGAAGAAAGUGACGGUACCUGCAGAAGAAGCGACGGCUAAAUACGUG